Streptomyces caelestis is the source of this 414-nucleotide non-coding RNA. It matches the Rfam family "Bacterial RNase P class A". From Rfam's summary of the family: Ribonuclease P (RNase P) is a ubiquitous endoribonuclease, found in archaea, bacteria and eukarya as well as chloroplasts and mitochondria. NCBI's taxonomy places the organism in Bacteria, Bacillati, Actinomycetota, Actinomycetes, Kitasatosporales, Streptomycetaceae. The record is from Rfam.
CGAGCCGGGCGGGCGGCCGCGUGGAGUCCCUCACGGGACUUCCCGAGGAACGUCCGGGCUCCACAGGGCAGGGUGGUGGCUAACGGCCACCCGGGGUGACCCGCGGGACAGUGCCACAGAAAACAGACCGCCGGGGACCUCGGUCCUCGGUAAGGGUGAAACGGUGGUGUAAGAGACCACCAGCGCCUGAGGUGACUCAGGCGGCUAGGUAAACCCCACCCGGAGCAAGGUCAAGAGGAGACGCCUCCUCGGAAGAGAAGGCGUCUUUGCGCGGACGUUCGAGGGCUGCCCGCCCGAGUCCGCGGGUAGACCGCACGAGGCCGGCGGCAACGCCGGCCCUAGAUGGAUGGCCGUCGCCGGCGGGCCCGCGAGGACCCGCCGGAACAGAACCCGGCGUACAGCCCGACUCGUCUG